RNAcentral lists this ribosomal RNA (659 nucleotides) under uncultured bacterium. RNAcentral describes it as "bacterial SSU rRNA". It matches the Rfam family "Bacterial small subunit ribosomal RNA", at positions 33 to 686 of the family's 1533-position model. The record is from RNAcentral.
ACGCUGGCGGCAGGCCUAACACAUGCAAGUCGAGCGGUAGAGAGAAGCUUGCUUCUCUUGAGAGCGGCGGACGGGUGAGUAAUGCCUAGGAAUCUGCCUGGUAGUGGGGGAUAACGUUCGGAAACGGACGCUAAUACCGCAUACGUCCUACGGGAGAAAGCAGGGGACCUUCGGGCCUUGCGCUAUCAGAUGAGCCUAGGUCGGAUUAGCUAGUUGGUGGGGUAAUGGCUCACCAAGGCGACGAUCCGUAACUGGUCUGAGAGGAUGAUCAGUCACACUGGAACUGAGACACGGCCCAGACUCCUACGGGAGGCAGCAGUGGGGAAUAUUGGACAAUGGGCGAAAGCCUGAUCCAGCCAUGCCGCGUGUGUGAAGAAGGUCUUCGGAUUGUAAAGCACUUUAAGUUGGGAGGAAGGGCAGUAAAUUAAUACUUUGCUGUUUUGACGUUACCGACAGAAUAAGCACCGGCUAACUCUGUGCCAGCAGCCGCGGUAAUACAGAGGGUGCAAGCGUUAAUCCGAAUUACUGGGCGUAAAGCGCGCGUAGGUGGUUCGUUAAGUUGGAUGUGAAAUCCCCGGGCUCAACCUGGGAACUGCAUUCAAAACUGACGAGCUAGAGUAUGGUAGAAGGGUGGUGGAAUUUCCUGUGUAGCGGUGAAA